This 1905-nucleotide long non-coding RNA is filed under the name Eucalyptus grandis. RNAcentral's name for it is "long non-coding RNA (EGRA_LNC005051)". The record is from RNAcentral. Lineage: Eukaryota; Viridiplantae; Streptophyta; Magnoliopsida; Myrtales; Myrtaceae.
UUGAGACAUUCGGUCAUAUCGAAGGGGAACAAAUUCAGAGAGAAAAGCACGAGAGAAGGGGGUCCUUUCCGUCGGUAAAAAAAAGCAAAGGGUGAAAAAGUGAGUGGAGAGAGGAAAAGUAGAAAAAAAAGAGAAAAAAGAAAAGAAAAGCCCCCCCUUGCGCGACUGUUCAUCUUCCCCGCAGGGGGGGGGGCCUUCGCCGCCCCUGUCGCCGUCGAACCCCGCCGUCGCCGUCGUCGAUCUCCGUCCGCGAGCGCUCGAGCCGCGAGCCCCGACGACCUGCGCCGCCCCGACGCUGAGCCCCCGGAGCCUCGACGACACGCCGCCGCCUGCUCUGGCCCGCGACCCGCCGCCUCCGCCUCACCUCUGCCUGCGCCUGCAACAGGAAGCCCCCGGACGCCGCGCCAAUCCCUGCCGUUGCAACCCUCCUCUGCAGAUCUGUCUCGGCCGUCAUAUCCCAAGCCACCGGUGACCUAGAGCCGCAGCUGAGCCGAGAUCCAGCCGCUGGAGUCCCUCCGCCUGCAAAUCCGAGGUCCCCGACGACAGAAGGCCCGAACCCAGCUCGAGGCUUCCCUUUCACCAGUGCCGAGCCUCGUUGAAGACCCACAUCUGACGCUGCCCUUGCUCCUCGCCGCGACGCUCGCCCCCGAUCCGGUUCUCUCACUGGACGCCGCGCCCAACAGCCCGAUCCAGACGCCGGAGCUCCUCAUCGCAGCCACCAGAGGCCUCCCGCCGUCCCUGCAGCGCCCCGCCGGCUGAAGCCCGUGAUCCGAGCGCCCCGACGCAGCCCCCGCGACGCAGGCCCGUGCCGCCCCGACGCCGCCUCCGCUUCGCCUCCAGCCCGAGCAGACCCGCGACGCUCCCUGCUGCCUCGCUGCCGACACGCCGCUCCGGAGCCUCGCCGGAACCCUAGCCGGUGAUCCCCCCCUCGCCGGACCGGCCACAGCUUUGUUUUUCUUUUUCUUUUUUAGAAAAAAAAAGAGAAAAACAAAAGAAAAUUUAGGUAUUUUCUUUAUCUUAUUUUUGUUUUAUUAUUUUUGCUAUUUUAUUUUAUCUUUUUAGUGUAAUUAUUCCUUUAAUGUGAAAUUGAAAUUCCAUGAUAUGAAAUUGCAACUAGUGAUUGUCAGUCCGAUUUUCAAGCUCGAAAUCCGACUCGCAAUUACUUUAAAAAAAUUGCCAAUCCGAUCUCCCGCUCGAGAUCCGAUUCGUGAUUUAUGUGAAAUUGGCCAACCCGAUCUCAUGCGCGAGAUAUGGUUCGUCGAUUUGGAAAUCAAUAUGGCUUGAUUUGCUGUGGUGUUACUUAAAUUAGUUUUCUUUAAAAAAAAAAUCAAAAAAUGUAGUUUUAGGGUUUGCAUGUUCAUAAUAGGAAUUUUAUUUCGAAUUUUCAAAAAUAAAAAAAUCAAAUCAAUUAAUUUAGGUUGCUAGUUCUUUUUUUAAUUUGGAUUGCAUGUUUAAUUAUUUGGCAAUUAUUAAUUUCGAAAUUUAAAAAAAGGGAAAAAAGGAAAAACACAAAAAAUGUCAUUAUGCAUAUGUCAUGUAGAAUUAGGGCAUUCUUUGCACGUCAUUGCAUGCUAAGAUUGCAUAUUAUAGGUUUAGAUAAUUUCUCCUAAAUAAAUUGCAUGCUUAUUAGGAAAAUAAAAAUCAUGUGCACGUCAUAUAGAAUUAGUUUCAUACAAUGCACGUCAUUUAGUGAUUUUUGUUAGAUGCAUUUAAUUAGAAAUUGCCUGUCAUUAGAAUUAGGUCAUUAGAUUAAUUUAGAUUGCAUAUUUAAAUGUUGCAUUUCUUUAAUUUCGAAUCUCAUAGAAAAUACAAAAAAAAUUAUUUAGAAUAAAUCAUCUCAUGCUUAUGAUAGACUACAUGCUUAGUUAUGUCAUAUUGCUUAGGUCAUAUAGCUAAGUCAUGUUG